GACGAACGCUGGCGGCGUGCUUAACACAUGCAAGUCGAACGGAAAGGCCCUGCUUUUGUGGGGUGCUCAAGUGGCGAACGGGUGAGUAACACGUGAGUAACCUGCCCUUGACUUUGGGAUAACUUCAGGAAACUGGGGCUAAUACCGGAUAGGAGCUCCUGCUGCAUGGUGGGGGUUGGAAAGUUUCGGCGGUUGGGGAUGGACUCGCGGCUUAUCAGCUUGUUGGUGGGGUAGUGGCUUACCAAGGCUUUGACGGGUAGCCGGCCUGAGAGGGUGACCGGCCACAUUGGGACUGAGAUACGGCCCAGACUCCUACGGGUGGCAGCAGUGGGGAAUAUUGCACAAUGGGCGGAAGCCUGAUGCAGCAACGCCGCGUGCGGGAUGACGGCCUUCGGGUUGUGAACCGCUUUCGCCUGUGACGAAGCGUGAGUGACGGUAAUGGGUAAAGAAGCACCGGCUAACUACGUG
This 468-nucleotide ribosomal RNA is filed under the name uncultured bacterium. RNAcentral describes it as "partial 16S ribosomal RNA". It matches the Rfam family "Bacterial small subunit ribosomal RNA", at positions 28 to 507 of the family's 1533-position model. The record is from RNAcentral.